GAUCCUGGCUCAGAUUGAACGCUGGCGGCAGGCCUAACACAUGCAAGUCGAACGGUAACAGGAAACAGCUUGCUGUUUCGCUGACGAGUGGCGGACGGGUGAGUAAUGUCUGGGAAACUGCCUGAUGGAGGGGGAUAACUACUGGAAACGGUAGCUAAUACCGCAUAACGUCGCAAGACCAAAGAGGGGGGACCUUCGGGCCGUCUUGCCAUCGGAUGUGCCCACGAUGGGAUUAGCUAGUAGGUGGGGUAACGGG
RNAcentral lists this ribosomal RNA (256 nucleotides) under uncultured bacterium. RNAcentral describes it as "partial 16S ribosomal RNA". It matches the Rfam family "Bacterial small subunit ribosomal RNA", at positions 15 to 264 of the family's 1533-position model. The record is from RNAcentral.